Molecule: ribosomal RNA, 444 nt
Filed under: uncultured bacterium
Lineage: Bacteria
Description: bacterial SSU rRNA
Rfam family: Bacterial small subunit ribosomal RNA
Source: RNAcentral
CCAGACUCCUACGGGAGGCAGCAGUGGGGAAUAUUGCACAAUGGGGGAAACCCUGAUGCAGCGACGCCGCGUGAGUGAAGAAGUAUUUCGGUAUGUAAAGCUCUAUCAGCAGGGAAGAAAAUGACGGUACCUGACUAAGAAGCCCCGGCUAACUACGUGCCAGCAGCCGCGGUAAUACGUAGGGGGCAAGCGUUAUCCGGAUUUACUGGGUGUAAAGGGAGCGUAGACGGCAUGGCAAGUCAGAUGUGAAAGCCCGGGGCUCAACCCCGGGACUGCAUUUGAAACUGUCAGGCUGGAGUGCAGGAGAGGUAAGUGGAAUCCCUAGUGUAGCGGUGAAAUGCGUAGAUAUUAGGAGGAACACCAGUGGCGAAGGCGGCUUGCUGGACGAUGACUGACGUUGAGGCUCGAAAGCGUGGGGAGCAAACAGGAUUAGAUACCCUAGUA